This 479-nucleotide ribosomal RNA is filed under the name uncultured bacterium. RNAcentral describes it as "bacterial SSU rRNA". It matches the Rfam family "Bacterial small subunit ribosomal RNA", at positions 29 to 507 of the family's 1533-position model. The record is from RNAcentral.
AACGAACGUUAGCGGCGACGCUUAACACAUGCAAGGUCGAACGAGAAAGGGCUUCGGCCCCGGUACAGUGGCGCACGGGUGAGUAACACGUAGGUAAACCUGCCCUUGAGUGGUGGAUAACAUUCCGAAAGGAGUGCUAAUACAGCAUAAGACCACGGUUCCAUCAAGGAACAGGGGUCAAAGCGGGCCUCUUCAUGAAAGCUCGCGCUUGGGGAUGGGCCUGCGGCGCAUCAGCUAGUUGGUAAGGUAAAGGCUUACCAAGGCUAUGACGGGUAGGGGACCUGAGAGGGUGGCCCCCCACAAUGGAACUGAAACACGGUCCAUACACCUACGGGUGGCAGCAGUAGGGAAUAUUAGUAAUGGGCGAAAGCCUGAACUAGCAACGCCGCGCGUGCGAAGAAGGCCUUCGGGUUGUAAAGCACUUUUUGAGAGGAUGAGGAAGGACGGUACUCUCAGAAUAAGUCUCGGCUAACUACGUG